RNAcentral lists this long non-coding RNA (858 nucleotides) under Oryctolagus cuniculus (rabbit). Its description in RNAcentral is "lncRNA (ENSOCUG00000034336.1)". The record is from RNAcentral. Lineage: Eukaryota; Metazoa; Chordata; Mammalia; Lagomorpha; Leporidae.
AGGGUGGCAUUGUUACAUGGCUCUAGACUCAUGGUGUCACCAUCACCAAGUACCACCCUGCCUGUCCCCUGGCAGUUAGAGGACAGCAGUGUCUGAUGAGGAACUGGCCUGUGUUGGUUUUCUAGACCAACGUUGCCCUGGGUAAAAGUAGACGGAUUCCAGACAAAGGCUUUUGGGAAGUGCAACUGACCCACGUGGCCCAUAUAUGUCCAUGUCCUCUGGAGUAGACCACUUCCUGCCCUCUGGGUAUUGGGUGCCACUGGUCUCACUGUACAGUUGUCGUUCACUGUGAUCUGAGGAACAGGCCAUGGGGAAGCCACCCUGUGACUCUCAGCACUGCACUGUGACAGGAAUGGCAAGCAGGGCUGCUGGUGACUCCCUGGGAAGAGGACAAGCCUCCCCCCCACAUACCUAUUGGCAGUGAGUCUCGGGAUCUGCGCCAGCUCAUCUCAGGGCACUCUUGGCCUGGGGUCUGGGAGACUGAAGAUUGUGACCUCACUUGUUUGGAUAAUGCUGUGUCUUCAUGAGAUGAUAAGGUGAGUGUCAUCUUUGUCCUCACCUAAGAAAGGUGAAUGUCCCAUCCUCACCUGGCAGCAGUUGGAACUCUAUCCACAAGUGAAGGUAAGAUGAAUGCUGUGUCCUAAAAUUAUGAAAGUUGCCAUUGAGGGAAGUGAGCCCCAUACUAUGUACUCAACCAGGAAGGGUGAAUGCAGCUUCCUUAUUUGAUAGGUGAAUGCCGUUUCCUCAACUAACAGUAGUAUUAACAUUCUGCCUUCACAUGAUGGCAGAGUGAAUGUCCUGAUUUCAUUGGAUAGAAUGGUGACUGCACUAUUCUCUACUUAUGCAAGGAUAAUCAAU